This 375-nucleotide ribosomal RNA is filed under the name uncultured bacterium. Its description in RNAcentral is "bacterial SSU rRNA". It matches the Rfam family "Bacterial small subunit ribosomal RNA", at positions 524 to 898 of the family's 1533-position model. The record is from RNAcentral.
UACGAAGGGUGCAAGCGUUGUUCGGAAUCACUGGGCGUAAAGAAUGCGUAGGCGGCUAGACAAGUCAGGAGUGAAAUCCCAGGGCUCAACCCUGGAACUGCUCUUGAAACUGUCUUGCUAGAGUCCCGGAGGGGUUAGCGGAAUUCCGAGUGUAGAGGUGAAAUUCGCAGAUAUUCGGAGGAACACCAGUGGCGAAGGCGGCUAACUGGACGGGAACUGACGCUGAGGCAUGAAAGUGUGGGGAUCAAACAGGAUUAGAUACCCUGGUAGUCCACACCGUAAACGAUGUGUGCUAGUUGUCGGGCAGCUUUGCUGUUCGGUGACGGAGCUAACGUUUUAAGCACACCGCCUGGGAAGUACGGCCGCAAGGUUAAA